UACGUAGGGUGCGAGCGUUGUCCGGAAUUAUUGGGCGUAAAGAGCUCGUAGGCGGUGUGUCACGUCGGCCGUGAAAACCUGCAGCUUAACUGUGGGCUUGCGGUCGAUACGGGCAUCACUGGAGUUCGGCAGGGGAGACUGGAAUUCCUGGUGUAGCGGUGAAAUGCGCAGAUAUCAGGAGGAACACCGGUGGCGAAGGCGGGUCUCUGGGCCGAUACUGACGCUGAGGAGCGAAAGCGUGGGGAGCAAACAGG
RNAcentral lists this ribosomal RNA (254 nucleotides) under uncultured bacterium. RNAcentral's name for it is "partial 16S ribosomal RNA". It matches the Rfam family "Bacterial small subunit ribosomal RNA", at positions 524 to 776 of the family's 1533-position model. The record is from RNAcentral.